GUCGAGAAUAAUUCACAAUGGGGGAAACCCUGAUGGUGCAACGCCGCGUGGAGGAUGAAGGUCUUCGGAUUGUAAACUCCUGUCAUCCGAGAGUAAGACCUGGCGGUGAAUAGCCGACAGGGUUGAUAGUAUCGGAAGAGGAAGGGACGGCUAACUUCGUGCCAGCAGCCGCGGUAAUACGAAGGUCCCAAGCGUUGUUCGGAAUCACUGGGCGUAAAGGGAGCGUAGGCGGCAUGGUAAGUCAGGUGUGAAAUCCCGGGGCUCAACCCCGGAACUGCACACGAUGCUGCCAUGCUAGAGGGUUGGAGAGGUGACUGGAAUUCUCGGUGUAGCAGUGAAAUGCGUGGAUAUCGAGAGGAACACUCGUGGCGAAGGCGAGACACUGGACAACAUCUGACGCUGAGGCUCGAAGGCUAGGGGAGCAAAAGGGAUUAGAAACCCGGGUAGUCC
RNAcentral lists this ribosomal RNA (450 nucleotides) under uncultured bacterium. RNAcentral describes it as "partial 16S ribosomal RNA". It matches the Rfam family "Bacterial small subunit ribosomal RNA", at positions 354 to 796 of the family's 1533-position model. The record is from RNAcentral.